AGCUCCAAUAGCGUAUAUUAAAGUUGCUGCAGUUAAAAAGCUCGUAGUUGCAUUUCCGAGGCAAGGGAUUAGUCCGACCUUUGGUGGGUAUUUAAUCCUCUUGCCUCGUCCUUGAGUGGUGCUUCUUGGUAUUAAGUUAUCGAGGAGAUAGCCGCUCAUCGUUUACUGUGAGAAAAUUAGAGUGUUCAAAGCAGGCUUAUGCCGUUGAAUAUAUUAGCAUGGAAUAAUAAGAUAGGACCUUGGUACUAUUGUGUUGGUUUGAGAACCAAGGUAAUGAUGAAUAGGGACAGUUGGGGGUAUUCGUAUUCAGUUGUCAGAGGUGAAAUUCUUAGAUUUACGGAAGACGAACUACUGCGAAAGCAUUUACCAAGGAUGUUUUCA
Molecule: ribosomal RNA, 381 nt
Filed under: uncultured marine Chaetocerotaceae
Lineage: Eukaryota; Bacillariophyta; Thalassiosirophyceae; Chaetocerotales; Chaetocerotaceae
Description: SSU rRNA
Rfam family: Eukaryotic small subunit ribosomal RNA
Source: RNAcentral